RNAcentral lists this long non-coding RNA (2011 nucleotides) under Triticum aestivum (bread wheat). Its description in RNAcentral is "long non-coding RNA (TAES_LNC008159)". Lineage: Eukaryota; Viridiplantae; Streptophyta; Magnoliopsida; Poales; Poaceae. The record is from RNAcentral.
UUUUUGUGAUCUAUAAAUUUCACGCCUAAUAUUCAAACAAGGCCAUAAAUCAAAUUUAGUUUUCACAAAACAACACAAACUCAUUACAAUCACAGCAAUGUUCAGAUACCAAAAAUACAUAUUUACAUAUAUAGCUCAACAAGUAUUACAACCAUUAUUACUACAUCACUUUCUUGGACCCGAUCUGGAAAAAGGAGCCUUUAAACAAAUUACUACACAACUUUGCAUUUUCUUGGAACCGAUCUGGAAAAGUAGCCUCUGAUUUCUCCGUGUAUUCGUUUUGAAAAAGGAGCCUCUGAUUUCUUGGAACCUGCACUAAACAAAGGCAUAAAAAACAAGUUAGCCAGCAUGUGGACAAAUCUGGAUAAGUGAAAAGAAUUAUCAGCUUGGCAAAUAUGGAUGAUAGGCACAACCGCACACAAGUGUAGAUACAAACUAUGGCUAAACUAUUUUAAGUCUUAAGCUGACUAAGCUUCAGGCACUACAGAUAUCUAAACCUACACCUGUUUCGAAUAAGUAAAACAGAGUAAAGUGCGGAAAAAGUUUUCUUUUUACAACUUGUCUAGAUGUAGGCCUUUAGUGUACAUUCAGGAAAUAAAAAAUUAUUGGGAUAGUAGAUCUAGUAAUAACUUCCUGGCAAAAAAUUUACAAGCAUAAACUGCUACACGUUCUUUUAUUUAAGUUGGCAAUAAAAUAUCAAAACUACAUGAGUAAAAACAAAUGCAACAACUGAAGUUUUGAAUAUUAAACACUAAAUAGCACUUUGCUCACAAGAUGCUUCUGAAUAGUCUGAUGUGGAACCACAUGGACAAGCAAUAGAGAAACUUUACAUUUUGGAACUGUAACAGAUAUCAAGAAACGUACACAAGACCAGUGCCUGAAAUAUCAAAUUCCAGAUGAAUACAAGAGCUAUUCAAAGCUAGUUCCUGGAGUUCCUUCCGGACAACAACAUUAGGCCUUGACAAUAAACAGCCAGACAUGUUCUAUUGUAAAUAUAAAAUAUAUAAUUAAAACUUAAUAGAAGGAAGGUGCAUGCAGAGCUUCUGAUAUAUAAAUAGCUGCAAGGGAGUUGGGCAUAAAAUAUACUAUUGCCAUUGACAAGUGUCUGUUCUAAUUUCAAAAAUCUAGUAAAGUAAAAAAAUAUAUGUUUUAAGUAUCAUAAUUUAUCCUCGAAAUGCAAAUCUGGUAUAUCGAUAAAUACAACUAUGUAUUCAGGCAUUGACGAAUCAAUAUCACAACAAAGCAUAUGAUGGCUACUUUCAUGAAGCAAGAAAAAUACAGAACUAUGGAAUCUAGGAAAGUCUAAACUAAACAAGUACGAACUGCAUCAUCCUUGAUGCUAAAAUAAAUGACAGUCUUAUCUACUAAAGUACGCAAUCCAUCUUGGAACAUCACACCAUACUAUCUGCCACAAAUGUAACUUAGACAAAAUGGUCAGCUAAGUAGAUCCCAUAGAGAUAAAUCAAGAGUCAUGAGAUUUGAAUGUUCACCAAAAGGAUAAGAUACGAUAGUACUCUUCUCAGCGAAAAGGCAGAUAGCAUUAACACCUGCCCCACUGUCGAUUACAUCCUUGCUGCAUGCACAGAAUAGCAAGGAACCAACAGGAGCAUCUCAUGGGCGUUUACUUAAUAAAAUAAACAAGUACUAGUUGCUUCACUAACUAGCAGAUAUCACGAAUUCUACACUGCUAGUGCUCCCAUGGUGAGAAAAGAAGGAAAUAUCCAUCAGUGCUACUCUGUCGUUGGCUGUAACAUGCAAGUAUCAGGAAAGGAAGUGGCCACGUUUGCUGCAUGAGGUUCAAUCCAAGAAAAUUUGAGAGCAAUCACUUGGAAAGAAAAGAAAAACAGAGCAAGAGGGUCAACCUUGUUCUUUGGGGAAUCAUGGUGCGUGGGGCGGACGACCUCGCUGUCGAACUCGUCCAGCUCGUCGGGCUCGAGCGUGGGGUCCCGUUCGUCCUUCCAUGGAACUUGAGAGGCAGAGAGCUUCUGUUGAUCUGAAUCGACUCAAAAAA